CUUCCGUCUACAAGGCUAACAUUAGCUGUCACGAUCGAGGGCGAGGGAUGUAAGAGGACGGCGCGCCUCGCGAGGCUGGUGGCGUGAACACCACAUCCUACUGCAAGCGCUUCACAGUCUGAAGCAAUAAGGGCAGAUGGAGAAAUGGAGGGACUCAUCCAUGGCACCACUUCCAGGAUUCAGCUCUGGGCUCCUCAUCCUCAGUGCUCACACCAGUCUGCAGACAUUU
Molecule: non-coding RNA, 229 nt
Organism: Pimephales promelas (fathead minnow)
Lineage: Eukaryota; Metazoa; Chordata; Actinopteri; Cypriniformes; Leuciscidae
Source: RefSeq, a predicted model, not a curated record